GAUGAAGAACGCAGUGAAAUGCGAUAAGUAAUGUGAAUUGCAGAAUUCAGUGAAUCAUCGAAUCUUUGAACGCACAUUGCGCCCGCCGGCACUCCGGCGGGCAUGCCUGUCCGAGCGUCAUUUCAACCCUCAGGACCCCCUUUCGGGGGGGAUCUGGUGCUGGGGAUCAGCGGCCUCCGGGCCCCUGUCCCCCAAAUUGAGUGGCGGUCGCGCCGCAGCCUCCCCUGCGUAGUAGCACACCUCGCACCGGAGAGCGGCUCGGCCACGCCGUGAAACCCCCAAUUUUUUAAGGUUGACCUCGGAUCAGGUAGGAAUACCCGCUGAACUUAAGCAUAUCAAUAAGCGGAGGA
This 350-nucleotide unclassified non-coding RNA is filed under the name soil metagenome. RNAcentral's name for it is "partial contains 5.8S ribosomal RNA, internal transcribed spacer 2, and large subunit ribosomal RNA". The stretch from base 1 to 120 matches the Rfam family "5.8S ribosomal RNA", at positions 35 to 154 of the family's 154-position model. The record is from RNAcentral.